RNAcentral lists this ribosomal RNA (223 nucleotides) under uncultured Staphylococcus sp. RNAcentral describes it as "partial 16S ribosomal RNA". It matches the Rfam family "Bacterial small subunit ribosomal RNA", at positions 117 to 334 of the family's 1533-position model. The record is from RNAcentral. Lineage: Bacteria; Bacillati; Bacillota; Bacilli; Caryophanales; Staphylococcaceae.
GUGGAUAACCUACCUAUAAGACUGGGAUAACUUCGGGAAACCGGAGCUAAUACCGGAUAAUAUAUCGAACCGCAUGGUUCAAUAGUGAAAGACGGUUUUGCUGUCACUUAUAGAUGGAUCCGCGCCGCAUUAGCUAGUUGGUAAGGUAACGGCUUACCAAGGCAACGAUGCGUAGCCGACCUGAGAGGGUGAUCGGCCACACUGGAACUGAGACACGGUCCAG